GCUAUCGUAGCUCAGCCGGUAGAGCACUACAUUGGUAAUGUAGAGGUCGCAGGUUCAAGUCCCGUCGAUAGCUCCA
RNAcentral lists this transfer RNA (76 nucleotides) under Aedoeadaptatus coxii. RNAcentral describes it as "Peptoniphilus coxii tRNA-Thr". It matches the Rfam family "tRNA". Rfam says of the family: Transfer RNA (tRNA) molecules are approximately 80 nucleotides in length. Their secondary structure includes four short double-helical elements and three loops (D, anti-codon, and T loops). RNAcentral also lists the same sequence under 5 other names. Lineage: Bacteria; Bacillati; Bacillota; Tissierellia; Tissierellales; Peptoniphilaceae. The record is from RNAcentral.